AUUGAACGCUGGCGGAAUGCUUUACACAUGCAAGUCGAACGGCAGCACGGACUUCGGUCUGGUGGCGAGUGGCGAACGGGUGAGUAAUAUAUCGGAACGUGCCCAGUCGUGGGGGAUAAGGUGGCGAAAGCUACGCUAAUACCGCAUACGAUCUACGGAUGAAAGCGGGGGAUCGCAAGACCUCGCGCGAGUGGAGCGGCAGAUAUCAGAUUCGGUAGUUGGAGAGGUAAAGGCGCACCAAGCCGACGAUCUGUAGCUGGUCUGAGAGGACGACCAGCCACACUGGGACUGAGACACGGCCCAGACUCCUACGGGAGGCAGCAGUGGGGAAUUUUGGACAAUGGACGCAAGUCUGAUCCAGCCAUUCCGCGUGCAGGACGAAGGCCUUCGGGUUGUAAACUGCUUUUGUACAGAACGAAAAGGUCUCUAUUAAUACUAGGGGCUCAUGACGGUACUGUAAGAAUAAGCACCGGCUAACUACGUGCCAGCCGCCGCAGUAA
Molecule: ribosomal RNA, 500 nt
Filed under: uncultured bacterium
Lineage: Bacteria
Description: partial 16S ribosomal RNA
Rfam family: Bacterial small subunit ribosomal RNA
Source: RNAcentral